Long non-coding RNA from Neofelis nebulosa (Clouded leopard), 524 nucleotides. RefSeq lists it as uncharacterized. Lineage: Eukaryota; Metazoa; Chordata; Mammalia; Carnivora; Felidae. The record is from RefSeq and is a predicted model, not a curated record. The transcript has 3 exons.
UUUACCAUUUUAAGUAUUGUUCAGUCGCUACCACCGUUAAUCUCCAAAACUUUUUCAUUUUCCCAAAAGGAAACUCUGUAUUCAUUAAACAGUAACUCUCCAUUCCCGUCUUCCCUUAGCUCCUGGCAACUACCAUUCUAUCCCUAUAAAUUGGACUACUCUACCUCAUGCUGCACGCCCAGUGUGGAGCUUUAACUCACAACCCUGAGGUCAAGAGUUGGAUGCUCUACUGACUGAGUCAAACAGCCACCCCUGUUAUUCUUUUUCAAGGUUCCGUGGGAUUGUCCACAUAGACAAUUUUUUAUGUGGGUCUCCAAUUAUAUAAUCCAGGCAAAAUAAUAUAUAGAUAAAGCAAAUAUGGCAAAUGACAACAGCUGUGGAAUCUUGAGUGUGGUGAGUAUGUGGAAAUUCAUUGCGGUAUUUCAACUUCUCUGUAUGUUUGAAAGUUUUUCAGAAGUUUGUGGGGAGGGAAAGUGAGUGUCCCACAUACCUGUCUGCCUUGUUACAUUCCCCUUCUGGAAGGU